UGGGGAAUAUUGCACAAUGGGGGAAACCCUGAUGCAGCGACGCCGCGUGAGCGAAGAAGGUUUUCGAAUCGUAAAGCUCUGUCCUAUGAGAAGAUAAUGACGGUAUCAUAGGAGGAAGCCCCGGCUAAAUACGUGCCAGCAGCCGCGGUAAUACGUAUGGGGCGAGCGUUGUCCGGAAUUAUUGGGCGUAAAGGGUACGUAGGCGGUCUAUUAAGUCAGGUGUGAAAGCGUGAGGCUUAACCUCAUUAAGCACUUGAAACUGAUAGACUUGAGUGAAGGAGAGGAAAGUGGAAUUCCUAGUGUAGCGGUGAAAUGCGUAGAUAUUAGGAGGAAUACCGGUGGCGAAGGCGACUUUCUGGACUUUUAUUGACGCUCAGGUACGAAAGCGUGGGGAGCAAACAGG
This 403-nucleotide ribosomal RNA is filed under the name Verrucomicrobiota bacterium. RNAcentral describes it as "Verrucomicrobia bacterium partial 16S ribosomal RNA". It matches the Rfam family "Bacterial small subunit ribosomal RNA", at positions 355 to 776 of the family's 1533-position model. The record is from RNAcentral. Lineage: Bacteria; Pseudomonadati; Verrucomicrobiota.